This 253-nucleotide ribosomal RNA is filed under the name uncultured bacterium. Its description in RNAcentral is "partial 16S ribosomal RNA". It matches the Rfam family "Bacterial small subunit ribosomal RNA", at positions 524 to 776 of the family's 1533-position model. The record is from RNAcentral.
UACAGAGGGUGCAAGCGUUGUUCGGAAUUACUGGGCGUAAAGCGCGUGUAGGCUGCGACGUAAGUCAGGUGUGAAAGCCCUCAGCUUAACUGAGGAAGUGCACUUGAUACUGCGUCGCUUGAGUGUCGGAGGGGGUGGCGGAAUUCCCGGUGUAGAGGUGAAAUUCGUAGAUAUCGGGAGGAACACCUGUGGCGAAGGCGGUUCUCUGGGCAUUACCUGACGCUGAGGAGCGAAAGUGUGGGGAGCGAACAGG